GACGAACGCUGGCGGCGUGCCUAAUACAUGCAAGUAGAACGCUGAAGAGAGGAUCUUGCUCUUCUUGGAUGAGUUGCGAACGGGUGAGUAACGCGUAGGUAACCUGCCUGGUAGCGGGGGAUAACUAUUGGAAACGAUAGCUAAUACCGCAUAACAACAGUUGUUGCAUGACAGCUGUUUAAAAGAUGCAAUUGCAUCACUACCAGAUGGACCUGCGUUGUAUUAGCUAGUUGGUGAGGUAACGGCUCACCAAGGCGACGAUACAUAGCCGAACUGAGAGGGGGAUCGGCGACACUGGGACGGGGACACGGCCCAGACGCCUACGGGAGGCAGCAGUAGGGAAUCUUCGGCAAUGGGGGGAACCCUGACCGAGCAACGCCGCGUGAGUGAAGAAGGUUUUCGGAUCGUAAAGCUCGGUUGUAAGAGAAGAACGGGUGUGAGAGUGGAAAGUUCACACUGUGACGGUAUCUGACCAGAAAGGGACGGCUAACUACGUG
This 497-nucleotide ribosomal RNA is filed under the name uncultured bacterium. RNAcentral's name for it is "partial 16S ribosomal RNA". It matches the Rfam family "Bacterial small subunit ribosomal RNA", at positions 28 to 507 of the family's 1533-position model. The record is from RNAcentral.